GACGAACGCUGGCGGCGUGCUUAACACAUGCAAGUCGAACGGUGAAGCGAGUGCUUGCACUCGUGGAUCAGUGGCGAACGGGUGAGUAACACGUGAGUAACCUGCCCAUCACUCUGGGAUAAGCACUGGAAACGGUGUCUAAUACUGGAUACGACCAACCCUUGCAUGGGGUGUUGGUGGAAAGAUUUAUCGGUGAUGGAUGGACUCGCGGCCUAUCAGCUUGUUGGCGGGGUAAUGGCCCACCAAGGCGACGACGGGUAGCCGGCCUGAGAGGGUGACCGACCACACUGGGACUGAGACACGGCCCAGACUCCUACGGGAGGCAGCAGUGGGGAAUAUUGCACAAUGGGCGAAAGCCUGAUGCAGCGACGCCGCGUGAGGGAUGACGGCCUUCGGGUUGUAAACCUCUUUCAGCAGGGAAGAAGCGAAAGUGACGGUACCUGCAGAAGAAGCACCGGCUAACUACGUG
Molecule: ribosomal RNA, 469 nt
Filed under: uncultured bacterium
Lineage: Bacteria
Description: partial 16S ribosomal RNA
Rfam family: Bacterial small subunit ribosomal RNA
Source: RNAcentral